Molecule: ribosomal RNA, 447 nt
Filed under: uncultured bacterium
Lineage: Bacteria
Description: partial 16S ribosomal RNA
Rfam family: Bacterial small subunit ribosomal RNA
Source: RNAcentral
AGCGAACGCUGGCGGCAGGCUUAACACAUGCAAGUCGAACGCCCCGCAAGGGGAGUGGCAGACGGGUGAGUAACACGUGGGAACGUACCCUUUGGUUCGGAAUAACUUGGGGAAACUCAAGCUAAUACCGGAUAAGCCCUUAUGGGGAAAGGUUUACUGCCGAAGGAUCGGCCCGCGUCUGAUUAGCUAGUUGGUGAGGUAAUGGCUCAACAAGGCGACGAUCAGUAGCUGGUCUGAGAGGAUGAUCAGCCACACUGGGACUGAGACACGGCCCAGACUCCUACGGGAGGCAGCAGUGGGGAAUAUUGGACAAUGGGGGCAACCCUGAUCCAGCCAUGCCGCGUGAGUGAUGAAAGCCUUAGGGUUGUAAAGCUCUUUUACCCGGGACGAUAAUGACAGUACCGGGAGAAUAAGCCCCGGCUAACUUCGUGCCAGCCGCCGCAGUAA